This 425-nucleotide ribosomal RNA is filed under the name uncultured bacterium. RNAcentral's name for it is "partial 16S ribosomal RNA". It matches the Rfam family "Bacterial small subunit ribosomal RNA", at positions 354 to 796 of the family's 1533-position model. The record is from RNAcentral.
GUGGGGAAUAUUGGACAAUGGGCGCAAGCCUGAUCCAGCAAUGCCGCGUGGGUGAAGAAGGUCUUCGGAUCGUAAAGCCCUUUCGACAGGGACGAUGAUGACGGUACCUGUAGAAGAAGCCCCGGCUAACUUCGUGCCAGCAGCCGCGGUAAUACGAAGGGGGCUAGCGUUACUCGGAAUUACUGGGCGUAAAGUGCGCGUAGGCGGCUCUGUUAGUCAGGCGUGAAAUUCCUGGGCUUAACCUGGGGACUGCGCUUGAUACUGCAGGGCUUGAGGCCGAGAGAGGGUGGUGGAAUUCCCAGUGUAGAGGUGAAAUUCGUAGAUAUUGGGAAGAACACCGGUGGCGAAGGCGACCACCUGGCUCGGUUCUGACGCUGAGGCGCGACAGCGUGGGGAGCAAACAGGAUUAGAUACCCCGGUAGUCC